UUACGGCCGUAUCACAUUGAAACACCGGUCCUCGUCCACUCACCGAAGUUAAGCAACGUCGAGCAUGAUUAGUAAUUAGAUGGGUAACCGCAUGGGAAUACCAGGUGCCGUAA
Non-coding RNA from Acanthosepion pharaonis, 113 nucleotides. The record is from the annotation of a GenBank genome assembly. NCBI's taxonomy places the organism in Eukaryota, Metazoa, Mollusca, Cephalopoda, Sepiida, Sepiidae.